Molecule: microRNA precursor, 125 nt
Filed under: Fukomys damarensis (Damara mole-rat)
Lineage: Eukaryota; Metazoa; Chordata; Mammalia; Rodentia; Bathyergidae
Description: miRNA (ENSFDAG00000003790.1)
Source: RNAcentral
GGUCUCACUAUGUAGGUGAAACUGACCUUUAACUCACUAUGUAGCCCAGGCUGGUCUCUAACUCAGUGAUCCUCCUGCCUCUGCCUCCAGAGUGCUGGGAUUACAGGCAUGCGCCACCAUGCCUG